CCUACGGGGGGCAGCAGUGAGGAAUAUUGGUCAAUGGACGAGAGUCUGAACCAGCCAAGUCGCGUGAAGGAUGACUGCCCUCUGGGUUGUAAACUUCUUUUAUAUGGGAAUAAAACGUUCCACGUGUGGGAUUUUGUAUGUACCAUAUGAAUAAGGAUCGGCUAACUCCGUGCCAGCCGCCGCGGUAAUACGGAGGAUCCGAGCGUUAUCCGGAUUUAUUGGGUUUAAAGGGAGCGUAGGUGGAUUGGUAAGUCAGUUGUGAAAGUUUGCGGCUCAACCGUAGAAUUGCAGUUGAAACUGGCAGUCUUGAGUACAGUAGAGGUGAGCGGAAUUCGUGGUGUAGCGGUGAAAUGCUUAGAUAUCACGAAGAACUCCGAUUGCGAAGGCAGUUCACUGGACUGCAACUGACGCUGAGGCUCGAAAGUGUGGGUAGCAAACAGGAUUAGAUACCCGGGUAGUC
RNAcentral lists this ribosomal RNA (460 nucleotides) under uncultured bacterium. Its description in RNAcentral is "partial 16S ribosomal RNA". It matches the Rfam family "Bacterial small subunit ribosomal RNA", at positions 338 to 795 of the family's 1533-position model. The record is from RNAcentral.